AUGUCACCAAGUGAAGAAAAGACCUGCGCACACAGGACACAGCACAGCCUGAUGCUCACAGCAAUAUGUUUUCUGUUAUUACAGGAAGUUUCAGGAGUCAAGGAGAACGGUGUAUGUGGGGCAGUCCCUCCCGUGUGGACGAAGAAUCCAGGUGAUGAGGAAUGUGCCGCUGUGUCGCUGGCUUUCCUGCACACAGGCAGCCGGAGUGGAGCUUCCUGUUGUGAUGAGGACCCGGGCUGUGGCGGGAGAAGUGGUUGCUCCAGGGAGGGUGGCCCAGCAGCAGCUCGGUUUGUGCUCUCACCCACCUCCUCCACACAUGCCAGCCCUGUUCCUCAGCACCCAAGGCUGCCAGAGGUCCUUCAGCAGCUCCCAUGGCUGACAGUGACUCUGUUUCCUAGCGACGGUGGCCAGUGAGAUGUUUCCAGAAAUGACCCUAGCUCUUUGCCAGGUGACAGCUUCAGGGACGGACUGCGUGGCAGAGAGCAUUUUCCUCAUGAGAAAUGCUGGCUUUUAAAAAGAAUGUAGAAUUUGCAACCAAAAGAUGUUGGUCUAGAUAGAAGCAGCUGGACCCCACAGUGUGGCAUGUGUUCGUUUGAACAUUCUACGGUGACCUGCCACGGAGGUCGUCUGAAGAUGGAGCCCUUGUCUACGGCCGUAGCACCCUGAGUGCACCCGCUGUCAUCUCAUGGUGAAGGUCCUGCCUCCGUCCCAGCUGCCACUCUGUGAACUGCCGUUUCACACUGUGCAGAGCCAAGAGACCAGUGAUCACGACGGGAGGCGACCUUUGCUGCUGUUCUCAAGGUGUGCUCAUUUCCCUCUUCUCACUGCAGUUUCUUCAGAUCAGCCACUUGUACUUAAAAUGUCUCCCUGAUUUUUUUUUAUUUCCCCAACUCUAGUUUGUCUAUAGAUGUUCAAAUUUUAGAGUUUUACGACUCAAUUUGUGUUCUUGAUUUUUCUAUCAAGAUUUUUGCCUUAAACAUUUUCCUCUAUUUAGGAAAAUGUCCUGUUUCCCAUGCCAAGUUUAUGCAGGCUUUUCGCUAGAAUAGAUCCAGAAGGAACACAGCAACACUGCCUUCACCAGAUCCGGAGAAUCUUGAUACCAAGUGCGGUAUGAGACAGCCCAUGAGAGGGAGAUUACAGGCCCGUCUUCUGAAUAGAGACAUCCAAAGCUGAAACCAAAUAUUAGAGCAGGCUGAAUGCAGAGACUGCUACAAACAAUGAUGAGUUAUUUCAUGAUUUGAAACAAUAUUGCCUCGUUUAAAAGUUUUGGGGAUUGUUUUAAAGAAAAAUUUAAAAGAUAAAUACAACUGAAUGAAUGUAAACAGUUAUAAAACAGAAAAAGUUAUGGGGUGGUAAAAGGCUUAUGAAACAAAUGUUUUAUAACCUCAUAAUUUCUAAUCCCAAUCAAAACUGGGAUAGAUUUGUUUAUGAGGUCUUAUUGCCAGUGCUAAGCUGUAUCAGCACUUUGGAGCGAGGGUGGAUCAAUAAGAUCGAAUAUUG
RNAcentral lists this long non-coding RNA (1500 nucleotides) under Macaca mulatta (Rhesus monkey). Its description in RNAcentral is "lncRNA (ENSMMUG00000062958.1)". Lineage: Eukaryota; Metazoa; Chordata; Mammalia; Primates; Cercopithecidae. The record is from RNAcentral.